GGGCAAGUCCCGUACGACCAGCUCCCGCCGAAUCCCCCAGGGCCGGAAGGCAGCAAGGGCAGGCGGUUGUAGCGGUGCGAUGCGGAUCGCUUGCCCCUC
Molecule: signal recognition particle RNA, 99 nt
Filed under: Flavobacteriales bacterium
Lineage: Bacteria; Pseudomonadati; Bacteroidota; Flavobacteriia; Flavobacteriales
Description: signal recognition particle sRNA small type
Rfam family: Bacteroidales small SRP
About the family: The non-coding component of the signal recognition particle in Bacteroides
Source: RNAcentral